Molecule: ribosomal RNA, 254 nt
Filed under: uncultured bacterium
Lineage: Bacteria
Description: partial 16S ribosomal RNA
Rfam family: Bacterial small subunit ribosomal RNA
Source: RNAcentral
CACGUAGGGGGCGAGCGUUGUCCGGAAUCAUUGGGCGUAAAGAGCUCGUAGGCGGCUCAGUAAGUCGGGUGUGAAACCCUCAGGCUCAACCUGGGGACGCCACCCGAUACUGCUGUGGCUAGAGUCCAGUAGGGGAGUGUGGAAUUCCCGGUGUAGCGGUGAAAUGCGCAGAUAUCAGGAGGAACACCAAUUGCGAAGGCAGCUCGCUGGGACGUUACUGACGCUGAGACGCGAAAGCGUGGGGAGCAAACAGG